This 1619-nucleotide ribosomal RNA is filed under the name Staphylococcus aureus. RNAcentral's name for it is "partial 23S ribosomal RNA". It matches the Rfam family "Bacterial large subunit ribosomal RNA", at positions 1309 to 2925 of the family's 2925-position model. The record is from RNAcentral. Lineage: Bacteria; Bacillati; Bacillota; Bacilli; Caryophanales; Staphylococcaceae.
GCGAAAGACGGGUGAGAAUCCCGUCCACCGAUUGACUAAGGUUUCCAGAGGAAGGCUCGUCCGCUCUGGGUUAGUCGGGUCCUAAGCUGAGGCCGACAGGCGUAGGCGAUGGAUAACAGGUUGAUAUUCCUGUACCACCUAUAAUCGUUUUAAUCGAUGGGGGGACGCAGUAGGAUAGGCGAAGCGUGCGAUUGGAUUGCACGUCUAAGCAGUAAGGCUGAGUAUUAGGCAAAUCCGGUACUCGUUAAGGCUGAGCUGUGAUGGGGAGAAGACAUUGAGUCUUCGAGUCGUUGAUUUCACACUGCCGAGAAAAGCCUCUAGAUAGAAAAUAGGUGCCCGUACCGCAAACCGACACAGGUAGUCAAGAUGAGAAUUCUAAGGUGAGCGAGCGAACUCUCGUUAAGGAACUCGGCAAAAUGACCCCGUAACUUCGGGAGAAGGGGUGCUCUUUAGGGUUAACGCCCAGAAGAGCCGCAGUGAAUAGGCCCAAGCGACUGUUUAUCAAAAACACAGGUCUCUGCUAAACCGUAAGGUGAUGUAUAGGGGCUGACGCCUGCCCGGUGCUGGAAGGUUAAGAGGAGUGGUUAGCUUCUGCGAAGCUACGAAUCGAAGCCCCAGUAAACGGCGGCCGUAACUAUAACGGUCCUAAGGUAGCGAAAUUCCUUGUCGGGUAAGUUCCGACCCGCACGAAAGGCGUAACGAUUUGGGCACUGUCUCAACGAGAGACUCGGUGAAAUCAUAGUACCUGUGAAGAUGCAGGUUACCCGCGACAGGACGGAAAGACCCCGUGGAGCUUUACUGUAGCCUGAUAUUGAAAUUCGGCACAGCUUGUACAGGAUAGGUAGGAGCCUUUGAAACGUGAGCGCUAGCUUACGUGGAGGCGCUGGUGGGAUACUACCCUAGCUGUGUUGGCUUUCUAACCCGCACCACUUAUCGUGGUGGGAGACAGUGUCAGGCGGGCAGUUUGACUGGGGCGGUCGCCUCCUAAAAGGUAACGGAGGCGCUCAAAGGUUCCCUCAGAAUGGUUGGAAAUCAUUCAUAGAGUGUAAAGGCAUAAGGGAGCUUGACUGCGAGACCUACAAGUCGAGCAGGGUCGAAAGACGGACUUAGUGAUCCGGUGGUUCCGCAUGGAAGGGCCAUCGCUCAACGGAUAAAAGCUACCCCGGGGAUAACAGGCUUAUCUCCCCCAAGAGUUCACAUCGACGGGGAGGUUUGGCACCUCGAUGUCGGCUCAUCGCAUCCUGGGGCUGUAGUCGGUCCCAAGGGUUGGGCUGUUCGCCCAUUAAAGCGGUACGCGAGCUGGGUUCAGAACGUCGUGAGACAGUUCGGUCCCUAUCCGUCGUGGGCGUAGGAAAUUUGAGAGGAGCUGUCCUUAGUACGAGAGGACCGGGAUGGACAUACCUCUGGUGUACCAGUUGUCGUGCCAACGGCAUAGCUGGGUAGCUAUGUGUGGACGGGAUAAGUGCUGAAAGCAUCUAAGCAUGAAGCCCCCCUCAAGAUGAGAUUUCCCAACUUCGGUUAUAAGAUCCCUCAAAGAUGAUGAGGUUAAUAGGUUCGAGGUGGAAGCAUGGUGACAUGUGGAGCUGACGAAUACUAAUCGAUCGAAGACUUAAUCAAAA